GGGGGAGCCACAUUUUGAAGGUGCUGAAACGGUGCAGAGGCAUUCUCGGCUGGAGCAUGGUUUUGGCAUUUGCAACUUUCUUUGAAUAAUGUUUUUAGUAAUAGGUAUUGGGUGAAAGUAAGAACAUUAUUCCUUUCAUUGUACGCAUACUGCAGUGCAUCAGACGUUGUGAUGCUACCUUGUUUUUCAUUUUCAUUUUAUUAUCUUUAAAUGGAAGAACAAGGUGUGUUGUCUUGUCCAUGGGUCAACCAAUCUUUAUAGCAUUUUCUUUUUUUUUUUUAAUUUUCGAGGUAAUGGAAGAGCACGGUGACAAC
RNAcentral lists this long non-coding RNA (314 nucleotides) under Vigna radiata. RNAcentral's name for it is "long non-coding RNA (VRAD_LNC008374)". The record is from RNAcentral. Lineage: Eukaryota; Viridiplantae; Streptophyta; Magnoliopsida; Fabales; Fabaceae.